AACUCAGAAAUAAAACACAAACACUGUCCCGAAAAGUUAAACCUUGAUUAGAUUGUCAGUGAGUUAAACAAAAAGGCAAUAACAAUCCUCCGCCGCCUCCGCCGGCAGCUCUUCCAUCAGCCACCGUAGUACAAAGUGAGUUUAUUUUAUAUCCACCGAAAGUAUAGUUUAUAUGAACCACUGAUAUAGACUUACAGUCGCAGAAACACUCAGAAAAGGAGGCAAAAUGUUGCACAGCAAAACAUUCAGUAAAAAAACAAGAGGCGGCAAAGUUCAAAAGCUUGUGAGAGAAGUUUAUUUGCGAGACGAUAUUUAUUGUGGAGCUUCAUUUUGUAAAAUAUGCGAUACUUCAUCUGCUCGCUUCGACAUUACUUCCUCAACAAUUCUUGUUCUCGACACUAAUGUCGUUCUUAAUCAGAUUGACUUGCUUGAAAAUCCUGCUAUUAAUGACGUGGUUGUGUUAUCAAUUGUUUUACAAGAGGUUAAGAAUAAGAAUACUUCUGUUUAUAAUCGAAUUCGUGCCCUCUGUAGCAAUCCUGCUCGCAAAUUCUUUGUAUUUUCCAAUGAAUUUCACAGGGAUACAUAUGUUCAGACCAUGACCGGAGAAAGCCCUAAUGAUCGAAAUGAUAGAGCUAUUAGGGUUGCUACCAAAUGGUAUCAGACUCAUCUUGGUGAUGCCGUAAAAGCUUUACUUAUCACCAAUGAUAGGGAAAAUAAGAGGAAGGCAACUGAAGAGGGUGUUUUUGCCGAGACAAUUGAAUCUUAUGUUAAAUCACUAGGCCAGCCAGCUUUGCUUGACCUGCUUGCACAGCCUGCUUCUGAAGAUUCAGUCAUGGAGGAUGCUGAAGAUUUAAGACCUUCGAAAAGGAAGGUCGUUUACCCAGAGCAUAAACCCAUGUCAGAGAUCACUGCUGGUUUGACCAGCAGAAUUUAUCAUCAAGGAAAACUUCGUGUUAAUCGUUAUAAUCCAUUUGAAGCAUAUGUCGGAAGUGAGAGCAUCGGUGAUGAAAUUGUCAUUUAUGGCCGUGAAAGUAUGAAUAGGGCUUUUGAUGGUGAUAUAGUGGCAAUAGAACUUCUUCCUCAAGAUAAAUGGCGUGAAGAUGGAUCUAUCUCUAUAGCUGAUGAAGAUGAUGAUGACGAAGAAGUUCGUCUAGUUCCAAACAGUGCGGAUGAUGCUCCUAGAACAGCAGAUCCAGUAUCAAUUUCUGCUAAUGAUACAAAUCCUACUUCCACUCGUCCAUCUGGACGUGUUGUUGGCAUCAUAAAGCGUAAUUGGCAUUCCUAUUGCGGAUCUUUGGAGCCAAUGCCGAUGCCUGCUGGAAGUGGUGGCCUUGUCUAUGCUUUAUUUGUCUCCAAAGAUCGAAGAUUUCCUAAAAUUCGAAUUCAAACACGACAGCUCCAAAACCUUGUUAACAAAAGAAUUAUAGUGGCUGUUGAUUCUUGGGACCGUCAAUCACGGUAUCCUUCUGGUCAUUAUGUACGAAGUAUAGGAGAUAUUGGUGAUAGAGAUACUGAAACCGAGGUGGUCUUGAUAGAGAAUGACAUAGAUGCAAGACCAUUUUCUGCUCAAGUUUUGGCGUGCUUGCCCCCAUUACCAUGGUCAGUUUCUGCCGAAGAUUUGGCCAAUCCUAUCAGGGAAGACUUGCGGCAUUUGCGUGUCUUUAGUGUUGACCCACCAGGAUGCAAGGAUAUUGAUGACGCCUUACAUUGUACAUUACUUCCACACGGAAAUUUUGAAGUUGGCGUUCACAUUGCUGAUGUAACAAACUUUGUCCACCCUGGCACACCACUUGAUGAUGAGGCUACCCAAAGAGGCACCUCUGUAUAUCUUGUUGAGCGUCGUAUUGACAUGCUUCCAAAACCCCUAACUGAAGAUGUAUGUUCUCUUCGUGCUGAUGUUGAGAGGCUGGCGUUUUCCGUCAUUUGGGAAAUGACCCCUGAGGCAGAGAUUAUUUCCUCAAGAUACACUAAAAGUGUCAUCAAAUCAUGCGCAGCAUUGUCUUACAUUGAAGCUCAGGCAAGAAUGGACGAUAGUCGAUUGAUGGAUCCAGUAACGAUGGAUUUAAGAAAUAUGAAUUCUUUGGCCAAGAUAAUGAGGCAGAGAAGAAUUGAGAGAGGAGCUCUUACUCUUGCUUCAGCUGAAGUUAAGUUUCAAAUAGACACGGAGACUCACGACCCUCUUGAUAUUGGUAUGUAUCAGAUUCGGGACGCAAAUCAAAUGGUUGAAGAGUUCAUGCUCGCUGCUAAUGUUUCAGUAGCUGAACAAAUCCUUAAACAAUUUUCAGGGUGUUCACUAUUAAGACGUCAUCCUUCUCCAACUAAAGAUAUGUUAGAACCCCUGCUGCGAACAGCUGCUUCUGUUGGUCUGAGCUUGGAUGUCUCAUCGUCAAAAGCGCUUGCUGAUUCACUUGACAGUGCUGUGAGUGAUGACCCGUACUUCAACAAGUUGAUCCGUAUAAUGGCAACAAGAUGCAUGUCACAGGCAGUUUAUUUUUGUAGUGGGGAUCUCAGCCCCCCAGAGUUUCAUCAUUAUGGUCUGGCAGCACCUUUAUAUACUCAUUUUACUUCACCAAUUAGGAGAUAUGCUGAUGUCAUUGUCCACAGGUUGCUUGCUGCAUCUUUAGGAAUAUAUAAACUUCCUUCAAUAUUUAGCGACAGGCCCCAACUAACUAGCAUUGCUGACAAUUUAAAUUACCGGCAUAGGAAUGCCCAGAUGGCAAGUAGAGGCUCUGUGGAGCUUCAUACUCUCAUAUACUUCAGAAAACGACCCACAGACACAGAGGCCAGAAUAGUGAAGAUAAGAUCCAAUGGUUUUAUAGUGUUUGUGCCCAAGUAUGGUAUUGAAGGACCGGUAUACUUGAUGCCUAGGGGUGAGAAAGGGGGUGGAGAAUGGUUUGUGGAUGAGCAGCAGCAGAAGAUCAACAAGAUGGAUGGUAGCCUUUCUUAUGGUAUUUUGCAAUCAGUAAGAAUUCACUUGGAGGUUGUCGAACCGCAGCCCAAUAGACCAAAACUCCAGCUUGCGCUCCUUUGAAUCGGUUGGCAGCCAGUUUGAACCAUUGCUAGGGGGAGUCAAAUUUUUGUUGCAUAAUUAUUUAUGAUCUAUUUUUCAGGACAGAAUGGACAUGUAGAUUGUUGACCAGAAAGUUACUGCUAUGGCUGCUACCAAAUAUGUCCACAGCGAGAGAACUGAGCACUCUUCUUGACCCACAUCAAACAGCUGGGUCAUGGUGGCAGAGUGUAUUGAACCAUCAGCACAAAAUGGUAGAGAGGAUCUGGAGGAAGGAAACCAAGAGUUGCUGCAGCUUUAACAAGCCAAAUACCGAUUGCAGGGAGCAUCACGAAUCGAACAAGAACCACCCCAACAAUGAUCCAUGCCUUUAUUCUCGACGAUCGUAAACCUGUUUAAUUCCACAAUAAGAUUGAUUGAAUUUUGUAAUUGUAUUUGUUCCGCAGGAAUAUUACCUUGAAUGAGGUUGCCUCCAAGUAUGAGUGUCAUGCAAGGAAUUGUUCCAUCUCUACGGGAUAGAAAAAAGAUUCCAUUAGUGAGUGAACGUAAACGGAGCAAUUGAAGAGAUAUAAAAAUGAUACCCAAGUAAUUUGAUUGAA
Mercurialis annua (annual mercury) is the source of this 3606-nucleotide RNA transcript. It is a transcript of the gene named exosome complex exonuclease RRP44 homolog A, with no coding region annotated. The transcript is spliced from 26 exons. The record is from RefSeq and is a predicted model, not a curated record. NCBI's taxonomy places the organism in Eukaryota, Viridiplantae, Streptophyta, Magnoliopsida, Malpighiales, Euphorbiaceae.